CGACCGGCGCACGGGUGAGUAACACGUAUGCGACCUGCCCGUAGCAGGGGGAUAAGCGGAAGAAAUUCCGUCUAAUACCGCGUAACAACCCAUGGAGGCAUCUCUGUGGGUUUAAAGGAAGCGAUUCCGGCUACGGAUGGUCAUGCGUCGCAUUAGCUUGUUGGCGGGGUAACGGCCCACCAAGGCGACGAUGCGUAGGGGUUCUGAGAGGAAGGUCCCCCACACUGGUACUGAGACACGGACCAGACUCCUACGGAAGGCAGCAG
Molecule: ribosomal RNA, 266 nt
Filed under: uncultured bacterium
Lineage: Bacteria
Description: partial 16S ribosomal RNA
Rfam family: Bacterial small subunit ribosomal RNA
Source: RNAcentral